GGGAGAGCACCUAGCUCAGCUGGGAGAGCACCUGCCUUACAAGCAGGGGGUCGGCGGUUCGAUCCCGUCAUCCUCCACCA
Molecule: transfer RNA, 80 nt
Filed under: Bacillus cereus
Lineage: Bacteria; Bacillati; Bacillota; Bacilli; Caryophanales; Bacillaceae
Description: tRNA-Val
Rfam family: tRNA
About the family: Transfer RNA (tRNA) molecules are approximately 80 nucleotides in length.
Source: RNAcentral